Molecule: ribosomal RNA, 446 nt
Filed under: uncultured bacterium
Lineage: Bacteria
Description: bacterial SSU rRNA
Rfam family: Bacterial small subunit ribosomal RNA
Source: RNAcentral
CCAGACUCCUACGGGAGGCAGCAGUGGGGGAUAUUGCACAAUGGGGGGAACCCUGAUGCAGCGACGCCGCGUGGGUGAAGAAGCGCCUCGGCGCGUAAAGCCCUGUCAGCAGGGAAGAAAAUGACGGUACCUGAAGAAGAAGCCCCGGCUAACUACGUGCCAGCAGCCGCGGUAAUACGUAGGGGGCAAGCGUUAUCCGGAUUUACUGGGUGUAAAGGGGGCGCAGACGGCGAUGCAAGCCAGGAGUGAAAGCCCGGGGCCCAACCCCGGGACUGCUCUGGAAACUGUACGGCUGGAGUGCAGGAGAGGUAAGUGGAAUUCCUAGUGUAGCGGUGAAAUGCGUAGAUAUUAGGAGGAACACCAGUGGCGAAGGCGGCUUGCUGGACUGUAACUGACGUUGAGGCUCGAAAGCGUGGGGAGCAAACAGGAUUAGAUACCCCAGUACA